This 1502-nucleotide ribosomal RNA is filed under the name uncultured prokaryote. RNAcentral's name for it is "partial 16S ribosomal RNA". It matches the Rfam family "Bacterial small subunit ribosomal RNA". The record is from RNAcentral.
ACGAACGCUGGCAGCGUGGAUUAGGCAUGCAAGUCGAACGAGAAACCGUUGAUCAAUCUUUCGAGAAAGUGAUUCGGUGGAAAGUGGCGGAAGGGUGAGUAACGCGUGGGUAAGCUAUCUUGAAGUUUGGGACAACCCGCCGAAAGGCGGGCUAAUACCGAAUGUGGUCGCUGGAUGCAUAUCCGGAUGAUUAAAGGUGGGGCUCCUUUUGGACCUGCCGCUUUUAGAGGUGCCCGCGUGCCAUCAGCUUGUUGGCAGGGUAACGGCCUACCAAGGCUUACGGCUAGCCGGCCUGAGAGGGUGACCGGCCACACUGGGACUGAGACACUGCCCAGACUCCUACGGGAGGCUGCAGUCGAGGAUCAUUCGCAAUGCGCGAAAGCGUGACGAUGCGACGCUGCGUGGAGGAUGAAUGCCUUAGGGUUGUAAACUCCUGUCAUGAGGGAACAGCCAUCUUACCCCGAAUACGGGUAGGAUCCGACGGUACCGGAAGAGGAAGCCACGGCUAACUCUGUGCCAGCAGCCGCGGUAAUACAGAGGUGGCAAGCGUUGUUCGGAUUUACUGGGCGUAAAGGGUGCGUAGGUGGCACCGCAUGUCGGAUGUGAAAUCCCACGGCUCAACCGUGGAACUGCAUUCGAAACUGCGGAGCUAGAGUACAGGAGGGGAGAGCGGAAUUCUUGGUGUAGCGGUGAAAUGCGUUGAUAUCAAGAAGAACACCGGUGGCGCAGGGCGGCUCUCUGGAAUACUACUGACACUGAUGCACGAAAGCUGGGGGAGCGAACAGGAUUAGAUACCCUGGUAGUCCCAGCCGUAAACGGUGCACACUUGGUGUGGGGGGAUUUGACCCCCUCCGUGCCGGAGCUAACGCGUUAAGUGUGCCGCCUGGGGAGUACGGUCGCAAGGCUAAAACUCAAAGAAAUUGACGGGGGCCCGCACAAGCGGAGGAGCAUGUGGCUUAAUUCGAUGCAACGCGAAGAACCUUACCAGGGCUUGACAUAUACCUGCACGCUCUCCGAAAGGGGAGAAGCCUUCGAGGGUGGUAUACAGGUGCUGCAUGGCUGUCGUCAGUUCGUGCUGUGAGGUGUUGGGUUAAGUCCCGCAACGAAAGCAACCCCUGUGGUUAGUUGCCACCGCCGGUGAUGAGCCGGCGAGCACUCUAGCCAGACUGCCCGUACAAGCGGGAGGAAGGUGGGGAUGACGUCAAGUCAGUAUGGCCCUUACGCCCUGGGCUGCACACGUGCUACAAUGGUCGGUACAAUAGGACGCAAUACCGCGAGGUGGAGCCAAUCCUCAAAGCCGGCCUCAGUUCGGAUUGGAGUCUGCAACUCGACUCCAUGAAGUUGGAUUCGCUAGUAAUGGCUCAUCAGCUACGGAGCCGUGAAUACGUUCCCGGGCCUUGUACACACCGCCCGUCACAUCAUGAAAGCCGUCUGCACCCGAAGUCGCUGAUCCAACCCCUCGGGGAGGAAGGUGCCGAAGGUGUGGGUGGUGAUUGGGAUGA